UUAGUUAAAAGAAACUUCUUGGCUCCAGACGCUGAAGAAAUUUUGAAUAUCCCAAUUCGAGCAAGAGGUGGUGAAGAUGUUUUGGCUUGGGCCUUUGAGAAAUCGGGUGAAUACAAUGUAAAAACGGCUUAUCGUGCUCUAGUGACUCGUGACAAGCGGCGUGCUCUAGAGGAAGGGACGGUAGCGGAGAUUUCAUCGUCAGAAAAACAGUUGUGGACAGCCCUAUGGAAGCUCAAAGUAAUUCCAAAAGUACGUGUAUUCGGUGGAGAGUUCUUCGUGGUAUUCUCCCUGACUAUGACACCAUGA
This 306-nucleotide ribosomal RNA is filed under the name Triticum aestivum (bread wheat). Its description in RNAcentral is "partial small subunit ribosomal RNA". Lineage: Eukaryota; Viridiplantae; Streptophyta; Magnoliopsida; Poales; Poaceae. The record is from RNAcentral.